GUUAAAAAGCUCGUAGUUGGAUUUCUGCGGGGGCGGGGCGGCCGGAUGCUUAUAGCAUCUCGAGCUAGCACUUCCCCCGCAUCCUGCCGCGAACCGUGCUACCAUUAGUUUGGUGGCGCUGGGGAUCGGCUCGUUUACUUUGAGAAAAAUAGAGUGUUCAAAGCAGGCCACACGCCUUGAAUAAGUUAGCAUGGAAUAAUGAUAAAGGACUUCGGUUCUAUUUUGUUGGUGUUCGGGACUGAAGUAAUGAUUGAUAGGGACAGUUGGGGCGGUCAGUAUUCCAAAGCGAGAGGUGAAAUUCUUAGACCUUCGGAAGACUAACAGCUGCGAAAGCGUUCCGCAAGGAUGUUCCCUUUGAUCAAGAACGAAAGUUGGGGGAUCGAAGACGAUCAGAUACCGUCGUAGUCUCAACUAUAAACUAUACCAGCUAGGGAUCGGCCGACGUUUAACUUAUAUCGACUCGGUCGGCACCUUAUGAGAAAUCAAGCAUCUGGGUCCCGGGGGGAGUAUGGUCGCAGGCUGAA
This 524-nucleotide ribosomal RNA is filed under the name uncultured marine eukaryote. Its description in RNAcentral is "bacterial SSU rRNA". It matches the Rfam family "Eukaryotic small subunit ribosomal RNA", at positions 618 to 1141 of the family's 1831-position model. The record is from RNAcentral.